UUCUGACCCUUUGGCCUCACAUCCAGUAGCAGUGUUUUACUUAAUGCUCUACAUAUAUUUUAUCUUCCAGCACAUGCAGUUAACUCCCCAAAGAACAGGAGCUUCCUGGCACCUGGGAGAAAAGAUCCUCCUAGAAGGAAGCCUGCUGUCACCUGGCAAUACAGACCAUCACAGACAGUGAAACAGUAACGCUGACAGCAGAUGUACAAACACUGAAAAUGCUAAACCAGUCACGCAACUCGGUGAGGACCCACAGCCCACAACCUGGAAGAAACUGAGUGGUCUGGAAUAAAUCAGCCUUGAAUAAGUAUGAAUUACAGUGAAAUGGAAAAUGUGAUCCCCCGCACUGAUACUCUACUUCCUCUGGCUCACAGAUGCCAGAUAUAUCACGACUGUGUCACUAGGAUAUUUGGGAAGGGGAAGAAUAGAGCUGGGAUGAAAAUGAAAAAAGAAGAGAGUUGUAGAAAAAGGAAGACAUCAGUGGAGAAGUCAAGACAGGGGAAAGAAAAUGAACAGGAGGAGAAAAAAAUAGGAAAGAAUCAAGAAUCCCAUCAUCCUAAAUCAAGAAUCCCAUCAUCCUAACAGUGGUAAGAAAGGAUCUGUAAUAUUAACUGUAAUUUGUAGGGCUGGGUGCACAUUUUUCUCAUUAAGCUGUAAAGCAGGAUGACUGAGUAAAUCUUUUGCAAAAAAGCAAGAUUGCCACCACAGAUGGGUAAAAUGAUUUUCUCUUUUUCUUUUAAAUCCCCAGUUUUAAGUGUGUCUAUAUACUCCUUGGGGCUUGGAUAAGUGUGGUCAUUGGUGAGGAGGGAGCAGAGAGGGAUGUGGGGAGGUGCAAGGGAAGCAGUUUCUUCAGUCCUUUAAAAACUCAGGAACUGCAGUUCUCCCAGGUGAGUUUCGCUCAACUUGUUGCAAUUUAAGUGGGGAAAAUCCUUAAAACGUGUGUUCUACCACUGGUUUGAAACCAGCCCUUUGGUCUCCCAAGUGGCAAGGAAUCUGUCAAAAGGGUGGGUUCCGUGAUUCACAAUUUCAAAAGAAGGCGACUAAUAAAAAUCUCAGCCAAGCAAUUUGUAAGAUUGGAGUGAUGACAGGAAUCCAGGAAGCAGCGGAAAAACAACCCAACUAGAAUGCCGUGAAACAGCCUGAAGUAACUCGGUGGAAGGAAUCCCAGAGGAAAGGAGUCUUCUGAUAUUAGGGCAGCACGGAGGGUUUAGGAAGCCAGUCUUAUCUUAAAAAGCUGCAUUAGAAGGAACAAUCUAAGUCUUAAGAACACUUAGGAAGCAGGUUUGUGGGGUCUUGUUUUGCAUUUUGGAUAAUUAGCUAGCUUGAGUGGAUUUAAUGUGGGAUUCAAACAAUAAUGAGAAGGGGAGACUCCCUGAAUUUACCUUAAAAUGGCUUCUAUUACUCUCACCAAAUCAGGCAAGAUCUGCAAGAUCUCACCAAAUCAGGCAAGCAUUGUUAAAAUGCAUAAAGGCUUGAUUCUGCAUGUAUGCAUGUAUACACCUUUUGAAAUUUCCCUCCAUCAACUAAAAAGUUUAAUUACACUCAGUUUAUUUCAAUGAUACAAGGAAGCUCUAGUCAUCUUGCUUCGGUUUGUAUUAUCCUAACAAAUUUGGGGUAUUAUAAUAUGGUUUUCCUUAGUUGCAAAAGAAAAAGCAUUUUUUUCCCUUUGAUGUUUUGAACCCUAUAUGUUACUAAUGUUUGUACGGUUUGGAUCAAGGCUCCCUUAAUUAGUUCAAAAAGUACUUUUCAAAAAGUAGAAAAGACUAGAGGGAAACUGAUUAGCUUUGGUAGAUGACUGUAAAUCUCUGGGUGCUCAGUAAGUGCUUUGGUCAAUGAGAUGAUAAAUCAGUUUCAUCUCAAUUUUCUCUUGCAUGAGUGAAUGAUCUUUUAUGAUAAUUUGCAGAUAUAUAGCCCUUUUAUCCCAGGAGUUUAGAGUGCUACAUACAGAUAACCUGAAUGUAUUGUGGAGGGGUAAAAGAAAGCUGGGAAAAGCACAAUUUGUGGAUUGCUGCAAGCAGGGCUGUUUACCCUCACCCCAUAUCCUAGGGGCCUCUGCACCUCUUGGGGGGCAGGUCUUAGUAGUCACAUUAGCAUUUAUUUUUGUGUGUAAAGCUCUGGAAAAGAAGAACACAAAUGAGAUAUGGAUGGGGUCCCCAUGAGGCUCACAAUCUAACAGACCAGGGGGUUGGUGACAGACACAUAAGGAAAGAUGAAACAGAAAUAUAAAAGAUACACACAAAAGGAAGCAGCAGCAUUUCAGGCUCCUCACAGCUGGGACCAAUGUGGAUGCUACUGCCACAUAAGGGAAGGGUGGAAGCCAUGGUAUGUCUGAGCUCAAGCCACCAGCGAACUCAUGCUUCCCCCCACUGCCAUAUCAGUUGGAGACCCAUUCUCCAGGCAGGGUAGGUCCCCAUGGGGGCUGAGCCCAGGCUUUUCAGGGUCCUGCCAGGCAGGACAUGAGGUUGGUUCUCAUUAACAAAUUAAUUAUGGUAUUUUUUAAGCGCUUACUAUGUGCCAGGUACUGUGCUAGGUGGAUACAAGAAAGUUGGGUUGGACAGUUCCUGUCCCACGUGGGGCUCACAGUCUCAAUCCCCAUUUGACAGAUGAGCUGAGGCCCAGAGAAGUGAAGCGACUUGUCCAAGGUCACACGGUAGACAAGUGGCAGAGCUGGGAUUAGAACCCAUGACCUUCUGACUCCCAGGCCCGUGCUCUACCCACUAUACCUUGCUGCUUCUGCUCAUAAUCUAGUGCUUAGAAGUACAGUGCCUGGCACAUAGUAUGCCUGGCACAUAGUAAGUGCUUAACAAAUACCGUAAAACAUUGCAUACCCAACCCUCCUGGCGGGGGUGAGAAGUUGGGGCUCAGCAGGUUUACCCAGCUAACAUAAAGACAACUAUCCUUUUUUCUAUUUUUUCUCUGCUUUUUGCACCCCUGCCUCUCUGGCCCCAAUCCUUUUCUCUUUUCAAUCAAUCGUAUUUAUUGAGUUCUCUGUGCAGAGCACUAAAUACUUGGGAGAGUGCAAUAUAACAGAGUCGGUAGACACGUUCGCUGCCCACAACGAGCCUCUCUAAUACUUCCCCAAGACUCUCUUACCUGUCUUCUCAGUAAUAAUAAUAAUAGUAUUUUUUAUAUUAUAAUGUUGAUAUUUGUUAAGCACUUACUAUGUGCAGAGCACUGUUCUAAGCGCUGGGGUAGAUACAGGCUAAUCAGGUUGUCCCACAUGAGGCUUACAGUUAAUCCCCAUUUUAUAGAUGAGGUAACUGAGGCACAGAGAAGUGAAGUGACUUGCCCACAGUCACACAGCUGACAAGUGGCAGAUCCGGGAUUCGAACCCAUGACCUCUGACUCCCAAGCCUGGGCUCUUUCCAGUGAGCCACGCUGCUUCUCUAGUGAGCCACACUGCUUCUAUUAAGCACUGGGGUAAAUACAGGAUAGUCCGGUCAGAUGCAAUGCGUGUCCUAUCUAGACUAUGGACUUUAAUUCCCAUUUUACGGAUACAUAUAUAUGUGUAAUUCAGAUCAAAAACAAUCUUCCUGAAUCCCAGACCUGACUAGAGUUGAUCAGCCUCAGAGUUCCAGACGGUUUCCACUUGCAGUUCCUCUGGCGACAAGCCUCGUCCCUGAUUGCCGCCAGCAUGGCUCAGCCACAGCUUCUCCAGGCUUCCCCUGCCCUGGGGUCUUGGCUUUCUUGUCUGCUGACCAGGAGGCCAAAGACACCAACUUCCCAUCUGCUCCUCUGCUUGUCCCUCUCCAGCCUCUCUGAUGUUAUAUGCCUGGGCCUGUUUCCACAGAUUUCCGUUCCCGAUUGGCCCCGGGCUCCAUUCAAGUAAGAGCCAAUGGGGAAAGUCCUCCAGCGCUUUGCCGUUUGCCUGCCAGCUACCUGGGUAGGCAGCGACUGGGCACUUAGUCACGUCAAUCCGCUCCUGGCAAGAACCUCGGAACCUAUUUUUCUCUUCAGUAGCUGGUGUUUUUCACUCUUUAUAUGGGUGAUUCUCCCUUCCCUGGACAAGAGAAAAAAAAAUCAAUCCUUUUGAAAAUUGCAUUUUAAAACUCUGAGCCUUAUUUUCAGACCCAGCAGAAAAACCACUUAUCAUUUCCGGGACUAAAGAGCAAUCAUUUGGCUCAACUGUCCCCAUUGUCUUCAUCCUAACUCAUCCUGACUCAUUGGGAGUCA
RNAcentral lists this long non-coding RNA (4173 nucleotides) under Ornithorhynchus anatinus (platypus). RNAcentral's name for it is "lncRNA (ENSOANG00000051320.1)". The record is from RNAcentral. Lineage: Eukaryota; Metazoa; Chordata; Mammalia; Monotremata; Ornithorhynchidae.